RNAcentral lists this ribosomal RNA (253 nucleotides) under uncultured bacterium. RNAcentral's name for it is "partial 16S ribosomal RNA". It matches the Rfam family "Bacterial small subunit ribosomal RNA", at positions 524 to 776 of the family's 1533-position model. The record is from RNAcentral.
UACGUAGGGUGCGAGCGUUGUCCGGAAUUAUUGGGCGUAAAGGGCUCGUAGGCGGUCUGUCGCGUCGGGAGUGAAAACUCAGGGCUUAACCCUGAGCCUGCUUCCGAUACGGGCAGACUAGAGGUAUGCAGGGGAGAACGGAAUUCCUGGUGUAGCGGUGGAAUGCGCAGAUAUCAGGAGGAACACCGGUGGCGAAGGCGGUUCUCUGGGCAUUACCUGACGCUGAGGAGCGAAAGUGUGGGGAGCGAACAGG